RNAcentral lists this long non-coding RNA (870 nucleotides) under Homo sapiens (human). Its description in RNAcentral is "HSALNT0036209". The record is from RNAcentral. Lineage: Eukaryota; Metazoa; Chordata; Mammalia; Primates; Hominidae.
GAAAGGAGGGAGAAACAUAACAACUGUCAGGAAAAGAAAUGUGGUCUCGCCUGCUGGUGAGAUGAGUGAGGUUUCAGCCCUGUGAGCCGGUUCAGCAUGGAGCAGCUGCAAGGGCUGUGGGUUCUCUGAAGGUAAGAUGAAGCCCAUCCCAAUCUGAGAUCCGGGAGCCAGGUGGCGACAGUGUGGUGUGAGAGAGAAGCUCGUCUCUGAGCAGUCAAGCCCUUUGCUGCAGUUGCUAACUAAACCUGCUGUCAACCUACACUUGCUAAAGUACCAUGCAAUAAGCAUAUCUGCCUGGCACUGCAGGGGAGCCAAGAAAUGGGGAGGAGGGAAUGAAGGAGAUGGAGGAUGGUAACCCACCAACAUUCUACCAAACGGAUUCAUUGUGGAGAUCAGGGAAAAGGCUUUUCCCACUGAGGAAGAACUGAGUGAAGUCAAAUAAAGAAAGCUUUGUAACUGGGGUCUUCCAGAGAGCCAGUGAACAGGUCACAUAAUGAGAAUUAUCUGGAAAUGAAGCUUUGAAGGAACUCCAACCCCAUCCUGCCCCCUCCAGUGGCUGUGAGCCUGUGGUUUCCACUGUGAUCACAAACUGUUCGUUUUUAAGAGACAGAAGCAGCUGGACAUCGAGAGGAGCAUAUCGGAGGAGGAACACACAGGUGGCUGGAUGUCGGGAGGAACGCACCGGCAUGCCAGCAGGCCCCUGGCCAGCAGGCCCCUGACCAGCAGAAUGACGCAGAGUUUGGCUGGGGCAGUCAGAGGAGAGCCCAGGCUGCCAAGCCGCCUGACUCCAGGGGAAAACCAUCACCCUUCUAGCUCCCCUAUCUGCUGAAAGCUAAUUCCACUCAAUAAAACCUGGCACUCAUUCUCCAA